RNAcentral lists this long non-coding RNA (316 nucleotides) under Homo sapiens (human). RNAcentral describes it as "HSALNT0082372". Lineage: Eukaryota; Metazoa; Chordata; Mammalia; Primates; Hominidae. The record is from RNAcentral.
AACAGGAUACAGCUACAGAUAAGAGCUCUUGGUUUAUUCCGGUGUUUCAAUAGGGCUACAGAUGCUGUUGCAAAAUGAGGCAAGAGUGAGUUCUGCCAAGAGCAAUGUCCAUCAUGCAAAAUGCCUACUACCUAGGAGCUUUCAGAAGAAGGUCAUCACUCCAGGCCACGGUGGCAUUCGUGAAUGGGAAACAAUGUUUGGAAAGUGUGCCGUUUUGACAUCAGUGUGGCUCUGGCACGUUGGAUGGAUGAGAUGAGUAGGAAUCAGUGUGAAGUCCGCAUUACAACAUGCUUGGAUUCAGUUAUGCCAAUGGUAA